This 266-nucleotide ribosomal RNA is filed under the name uncultured Atopobium sp. RNAcentral's name for it is "partial 16S ribosomal RNA". It matches the Rfam family "Bacterial small subunit ribosomal RNA", at positions 89 to 355 of the family's 1533-position model. The record is from RNAcentral. Lineage: Bacteria; Bacillati; Actinomycetota; Coriobacteriia; Coriobacteriales; Atopobiaceae.
UAUAAAGUGGCGAACGGCUGAGUAACACGUGGGCAACCUGCCCUUUGCACUGGGAUAGCCUCGGGAAACCGAGGUUAAUACCGGAUACUCCAUAUUUGUGCAUGGCGAAUAUGGGAAAGCUCCGGCGGCAAAGGAUGGGCCCGCGGCCUGUUAGCUAGUUGGUGGGGUAGUGGCCUACCAAGGCAAUGAUGGGUAGCCGGGUUGAGAGACCGACCGGCCAGAUUGGGACUGAGACACGGCCCAGACUCCUACGGGAGGCAGCAGCC